This 620-nucleotide ribosomal RNA is filed under the name Escherichia coli. RNAcentral describes it as "bacterial SSU rRNA". It matches the Rfam family "Bacterial small subunit ribosomal RNA", at positions 1 to 610 of the family's 1533-position model. The record is from RNAcentral. Lineage: Bacteria; Pseudomonadati; Pseudomonadota; Gammaproteobacteria; Enterobacterales; Enterobacteriaceae.
AAAUUGAAGAGUUUGAUCAUGGCUCAGAUUGAACGCUGGCGGCAGGCCUAACACAUGCAAGUCGAACGGUAACAGGAAACAGCUUGCUGUUUCGCUGACGAGUGGCGGACGGGUGAGUAAUGUCUGGGAAACUGCCUGAUGGAGGGGGAUAACUACUGGAAACGGUAGCUAAUACCGCAUAACGUCGCAAGACCAAAGAGGGGGACCCUCGGGCCUCUUGCCAUCGGAUGUGCCCAGAUGGGAUUAGCUUGUUGGUGGGGUAACGGCUCACCAAGGCGACGAUCCCUAGCUGGUCUGAGAGGAUGACCAGCCACACUGGAACUGAGACACGGUCCAGACUCCUACGGGAGGCAGCAGUGGGGAAUAUUGCACAAUGGGCGCAAGCCUGAUGCAGCCAUGCCGCGUGUAUGAAGAAGGCCUUCGGGUUGUAAAGUACUUUCAGCGGGGAGGAAGGGAGUAAAGUUAAUACCUUUGCUCAUUGACGUUACCCGCAGAAGAAGCACCGGCUAACUCCGUGCCAGCAGCCGCGGUAAUACGGAGGGUGCAAGCGUUAAUCGGAAUUACUGGGCGUAAAGCGCACGCAGGCGGUUUGUUAAGUCAGAUGUGAAAUCCCCGGGCUC